This 253-nucleotide ribosomal RNA is filed under the name uncultured bacterium. RNAcentral describes it as "partial 16S ribosomal RNA". It matches the Rfam family "Bacterial small subunit ribosomal RNA", at positions 524 to 776 of the family's 1533-position model. The record is from RNAcentral.
UACAGAGGUCUCAAGCGUUGUUCGGAUUCAUUGGGCGUAAAGGGUGCGUAGGCGGCGCGGUAAGUCGGAUGUGAAAUCUCGGAGCUUAACUCCGAAACUGCAUUCGAUACUGCCGUGCUUGAGGACUGGAGAGGAGAGUGGAAUUUACGGUGUAGCGGUGAAAUGCGUAGAUAUCGGAAGGAAGACCAGUGGCGAAGGCGGGUCUCUGGACAGUUCCUGACGCUGAGGCACGAAGGCCAGGGGAGCAAACGGG